MicroRNA precursor from Gorilla gorilla gorilla (western lowland gorilla), 66 nucleotides. NCBI's taxonomy places the organism in Eukaryota, Metazoa, Chordata, Mammalia, Primates, Hominidae. The record is from Ensembl.
UUAGAUCGGUGCAAAAGUAACUAUGGUUUUUGCCCAAAAACCAUAGUUACUUUUGCACCAAGCUAA